GCCAGGCAUGGUGGCAUGUGCUUGUAGUCCCAGUUACUAGGGAGGCUGAGAUGGGAGGAUCACUUGAGCCCAGGAGUUCUGGGCUGUAGUGUGCUAUGCCAUUCGGGUGUCCGCACUAAGUUCGGCAUCAAUAUGGUGACCUCCCAGGAGCGGGGGACUACCAGGUUGCCUAAGGAGGGGUGAACUGGCACAGGUCAGAAACAGAGCAGGUCAAAAUUCCCGUGCUAAUCAGUAGUGGGAUGGCACCUGUGAAUAGCCACUGUACUCCAGCCUGGGCAACAUAGUGAGACCCUGUCUCU
RNAcentral lists this signal recognition particle RNA (299 nucleotides) under Cebus imitator (Panamanian white-faced capuchin). Its description in RNAcentral is "Metazoan signal recognition particle RNA (ENSCCAG00000009225.1)". It matches the Rfam family "Metazoan signal recognition particle RNA". From Rfam's summary of the family: The signal recognition particle (SRP) is a universally conserved ribonucleoprotein. The record is from RNAcentral. Lineage: Eukaryota; Metazoa; Chordata; Mammalia; Primates; Cebidae.